UAUUUGACGUUACCUACAGAAGAAGCACCGGCUAACUCCGUGCCAGCAGCCGCGGUAAUACGGAGGGUGCGAGCGUUAAUCGGAAUUACUGGGCGUAAAAGCGCAUGCAGGCGGCCUGUUAAGUCAGAUGUGAAAGCCCGGGGCUUAACCUCGGAAUUGCAUUUGAAACUGGCAGGCUAGAGUCUUGUAGGAGGGGGUAGAAUUUCAGGUGUAGCGGUGAAAUGCGUAGAGAUCUGAAGGAAUACCAGUGGCGAAGGCCGGCCCCCUGGACAAAGACUGACGCUCAGAUGCGAAAGCGUGGGGAGCAAACAGGAUUAGAUACCCCUGGUAG
This 331-nucleotide ribosomal RNA is filed under the name uncultured bacterium. RNAcentral describes it as "bacterial SSU rRNA". It matches the Rfam family "Bacterial small subunit ribosomal RNA", at positions 466 to 793 of the family's 1533-position model. The record is from RNAcentral.